Molecule: ribosomal RNA, 253 nt
Filed under: uncultured bacterium
Lineage: Bacteria
Description: partial 16S ribosomal RNA
Rfam family: Bacterial small subunit ribosomal RNA
Source: RNAcentral
UACGAAGGGGGCUAGCGUUGUUCGGAAUUACUGGGCGUAAAGCGCACGUAGGCGGACAUUUAAGUCAGGGGUGAAAUCCCAGAGCUCAACUCUGGAACUGCCUUUGAUACUGGGUGUCUUGAGUAUGGAAGAGGUGAGUGGAAUUCCGAGUGUAGAGGUGAAAUUCGUAGAUAUUCGGAGGAAUACCAGUGGCGAAGGCGGCUCACUGGUCCAUUACUGACGCUGAGGUGCGAAAGCGUGGGGAGCAAACAGG